Molecule: ribosomal RNA, 406 nt
Filed under: uncultured bacterium
Lineage: Bacteria
Description: partial 16S ribosomal RNA
Rfam family: Bacterial small subunit ribosomal RNA
Source: RNAcentral
AUUGAACGCUGGCGGCAGGCCUAACACAUGCAAGUCGAACGAGUGGCGGACGGGUGAGUAAUGUCUGGGAAACUGCCCGAUGGAGGGGGAUAACUACUGGAAACGGUAGCUAAUACCGCAUACCAUCGGAUGUGCCCAGAUGGGAUUAGCUUGUAGGUGAGGUAACGGCUCACCUAGGCGACGGUCCCUAGCUGGUCUGAGAGGAUGACCAGCCAGACUGGGUCUGAGACACGGUCCGGACUCCGACGGUAGGCAGCAGUUGGGAAUAUUGCACAAUGGGCGCAAGCCUGAGGCAGCCAUGCCGGGUGUAUGAAGAAGGCCUUCGGGUUGUAAAGUACUUGCAGCGGGGAGGCGUUACCCGCAGUAGAAUCACCGGCUAACUCCGUGCCAGCAGCCUCGUUAAUAC